Molecule: long non-coding RNA, 1132 nt
Organism: Haemorhous mexicanus (house finch)
Lineage: Eukaryota; Metazoa; Chordata; Aves; Passeriformes; Fringillidae
Exons: 3
Source: RefSeq, a predicted model, not a curated record
GGGAUCCUGCGACUGGAUUUUGGAGUAAUUUUGUGGAAUUUAAGGGAUUUGGGGGCAAUUUCGGGGUCCCUGACGGGACUUUGGGAUAUUUUGGUGCAAUUUUUGGGGUGAUUUGGGGUAAUUUUGGGGUCCCUGACAGGACUUUGGGAUUGAUUUGGGGUAAUUUCGGGGUCCCUGAUGGAAUUUUGGGGUAUUUUGAGGUAAUUUUGGGGUCCCUGAUGGGAUUUCAGGGUAUUUUGGUGCAACUUUUGGGGUGAUUUGGGGUAAUUUCAGGGUCUGUUAUGGUAUUUGGAUGGAAUUUUGGGGUAUUUUGGAUUGUUUUGGUUUGAACAGACAGGUGUGUGCUGAGGAAGGCAGGAGACCCCUGAAAUGGAAAAUGUGAACUGUCUCCCUCUGCAUUGUUGUAAAUUUGAAAUGAAAAGGCUCUCAGGCAAAGAUAUGGGAACAGGACUAACAGUUCUUUGCUGGGGACUGGUUCCAUGACAAAGGUCACGUCGGCGUGCUCUGGAUCGCUGAGAACUGGAAAAGGACCAGACCCAGCUAAUCUGAGGCCCCGCACUGUGAAGACGCCGUGGCCUUGAGCACGGCUGUGUUAUGAUACCAAGGUGCUGUAGCCGAGAGCAGAGCCUGAGAAAAGAGAGAUAAGAUGUGUCCUGGAGGGAGGAUUGGCUGUGGAAGAGAGAAAGAAAACUGCCCCAUGAACAGCAGAUAACUGCCCCGUCAGGACACCUGGAUCCCCCAAAGACACCUGGACCCACAGAGGAACACCUGGAACUGCCCCCAGGACACCUGAAACCGUCCCAGGAACACCUGGAGGCCUCCUGAGCACACCAGGAUCCCCCUAAAGAGUACCUGGGGCACCCCAAAAACACCUGGAAAUGCUUCUGGGACACCUGAAUCUCCCUCAAGGACACCUGGACCCACCCAAACUCACCUGGACCCACUCAGGAACACCUCGAUGCCCCCAAAAAACCACCUGGGACCCCCCAAAUCCACCUGAGACCCCCAAAAUCCCACCUGGACCCUCCCCAUGAUGUCACAGGUGUGGCCAUGCCCCCCAUCUCCCCCGGGUUUCUAUUUUUGGGUCGAUUUGUGGUGAUUUUUGGUUUCCAUCGAUAAAAAUCCAACCGGG